RNAcentral lists this ribosomal RNA (627 nucleotides) under dothideomycete sp. 7649. Its description in RNAcentral is "eukaryotic LSU rRNA". The stretch from base 247 to 400 matches the Rfam family "5.8S ribosomal RNA". Lineage: Eukaryota; Fungi; Ascomycota; Dothideomycetes. The record is from RNAcentral.
CUUGGUCAUUUAGAGGAAGUAAAAGUCGUAACAAGGUCUCCGUAGGUGAACCUGCGGAGGGAUCAUUACACAAUAAACAUAUGAAGGCUGCACCGCCAACAGGCGGCAAGGYUGRAGUAUUUUAUUACCCUUGUCUUUUGCGCACUUGUUGUUUCCUGGGCGGGUUCGCCCGCCUCCAGGACCACAUGAUAAACCUUUUUUAUGCAGUUGCAAUCAGCGUCAGUACAACAAAUGUAAAUCAUUUACAACUUUCAACAACGGAUCUCUUGGUUCUGGCAUCGAUGAAGAACGCAGCGAAAUGCGAUACGUAGUGUGAAUUGCAGAAUUCAGUGAAUCAUCGAAUCUUUGAACGCACAUUGCGCCCUUUGGUAUUCCAAAGGGCAUGCCUGUUCGAGCGUCAUUUGUACCCUCAAGCUUUGCUUGGUGUUGGGCGUUUUUUGUCUUUGGUUUUGUCCAAAGACUCGCCUUAAAACGAUUGGCAGCCGGCCUACUGGUUUMGCAGCGCAGCACAUUUUUGCGCUUGCAAUCAGCAAAAGAGGACGGCACUCCAUCAAGACUCUAUAUCACUUUUGACCUCGGAUCAGGUAGGGAUACCCGCUGAACUUAAGCAUAUCAAUAAGCGGAGGA